RNAcentral lists this ribosomal RNA (98 nucleotides) under Ochotona princeps (American pika). Lineage: Eukaryota; Metazoa; Chordata; Mammalia; Lagomorpha; Ochotonidae. The record is from RNAcentral.
UACAGCACACCACCCUGCACAUGCCUAAUCUCAGAAGCUAAGCAGGGUCAGGCCUGGUUAGUACUUGGAUGGGAGAUCUGCGAGCUAGGAUGCUGCUU